GAUGAACGCUAGCGGCAGGCCUAAUACAUGCAAGACGAACGGUAAGUUGAGUAGCAAUACUUAGCCAAGAGUGUCGUACGGGUGCGUAACACGUAUGCAACCUACCCUAUACAGGAGGAUAGCCUAGGGAAACCUGGAUUAACCCUUCAUAGUAUUAUUGGAUGGCAUCAUUUGAUAAUUAAAACUGAGGUGGUAUAGGAUGGGCAUGCGUCUGAUUAGUUAGUUGGCGGGGUAAUGGUCCACCAAGACGAUGAUCAGUAGGGGUUCUGAGAGGAAGAUCCCCCCACACUGGCACUGAGAUACGGGCC
This 308-nucleotide ribosomal RNA is filed under the name uncultured bacterium. Its description in RNAcentral is "bacterial SSU rRNA". It matches the Rfam family "Bacterial small subunit ribosomal RNA", at positions 28 to 332 of the family's 1533-position model. The record is from RNAcentral.